RNAcentral lists this ribosomal RNA (420 nucleotides) under bacterium. RNAcentral's name for it is "partial 16S ribosomal RNA". It matches the Rfam family "Bacterial small subunit ribosomal RNA", at positions 355 to 776 of the family's 1533-position model. The record is from RNAcentral.
UGGGGGAUAUUGCACAAUGGGCGAAAGCCUGAUGCAGCGACGCCGCGUGGGGGAUGAAGGCUUUCGGGUUGUAAACCUCUUUCGCUAUCGAACAAGGCCCGCUUAGGGUGGGUUGAGGGUAGGUGGAGAAGAAGCGCCGGCUAACUACGUGCCAGCAGCCGCGGUAAUACGUAGGGCGCGAGCGUUGUCCGGAAUUAUUGGGCGUAAAGGGCUUGUAGGCGGCUUGUUGCGCCUGCUGUGAAAACGCGGGGCUUAACUUCGCGCGUGCAGUGGGUACGGGCAGGCUUGAGUGUGGUAGGGGUGACUGGAAUUCCAGGUGUAGCGGAGGAAUGCGCAGAGAUCUGGAGGAACACCGAUGGCGAAGGCAGGUCACUGGGCCAUUACUGACGCUGAGGAGCGAAAGCAUGGGUAGCGAACAGG